CCGGGAGCUGAGUCUCAGAUUCAUCUUCCAGAAUGACAGGUGACGGAUUCCUAAAUCUAACCAGUUCUAACGAUGUUUGGUUUUCUUCCAGCAGAGUCUUAGGGAUAAGUGGCAUGUCAUCAAAAGCACUUAAGUCAUCAGAAAAAUGCAUAUAGAGGUUCUUCCAGACCAUCUUAAGCCAAGAAAUUGAUGGGUGAUUUUUGUCUUCCAAACCGGGAUACCACUGUACCACCAUGUCUCUGCCAGGCCACACACUAUUCAUAACUUCUUUAAUUAGCCGGGUAAAUCUUUCUGGGUUCAGAAGCUGCAGCUGCGUGCAUGGCCUUCCUCUGCUUUUGGCAGCUUCUUUCAAAGCAGCUAGAACCUCAGGCUUCAGGUCAUCAGAAAGUAACCUCCCUUCAAGGCCAGGAAAGAGUGAUCUGGGAAAAUCUUCUGAGGUUAU
Molecule: long non-coding RNA, 442 nt
Filed under: Gallus gallus (chicken)
Lineage: Eukaryota; Metazoa; Chordata; Aves; Galliformes; Phasianidae
Source: RNAcentral